GCAGUCGAACGCGUUGGCCCAAUUGAUUGAUGGUGCUUGCACCUGAUUGAUUUUGGUCGCCAACGAGUGGCGGACGGGUGAGUAACACGUAGGUAACCUGCCCAGAAGCGGGGGACAACAUUUGGAAACAGAUGCUAAUACCGCAUAACAACGUUGUUCGCAUGAACAACGCUUAAAAGAUGGCUUCUCGCUAUCACUUCUGGAUGGACCUGCGGUGCAUUAGCUUGUUGGUGGGGUAAUGGCCUACCAAGGCGAUGAUGCAUAGCCGAGUUGAGAGACUGAUCGGCCACAAUGGGACUGAGACACGGCCCAUACUCCUACGGGAGGCAGCAGUAGGGAAUCUUCCACAAUGGGCGCAAGCCUGAUGGAGCAACACCGCGUGAGUGAAGAAGGGUUUCGGCUCGUAAAGCUCUGUUGUUAAAGAAGAACACGUAUGAGAGUAACUGUUCAUACGUUGACGGUAUUUAACCAGAAAGUCACGGCUAACUACGUGCCAGCAGCCGCGGUAAUACGUAGGUGG
This 520-nucleotide ribosomal RNA is filed under the name Limosilactobacillus fermentum. RNAcentral's name for it is "bacterial SSU rRNA". It matches the Rfam family "Bacterial small subunit ribosomal RNA", at positions 57 to 534 of the family's 1533-position model. The record is from RNAcentral. Lineage: Bacteria; Bacillati; Bacillota; Bacilli; Lactobacillales; Lactobacillaceae.